Molecule: unclassified non-coding RNA, 360 nt
Filed under: fungal sp.
Lineage: Eukaryota; Fungi
Description: partial internal transcribed spacer region
Rfam family: Eukaryotic small subunit ribosomal RNA (bases 1-46)
Source: RNAcentral
AAGUCGUAACAAGGUUUCCGUAGGUGAACCUGCGGAAGGAUCAUUAACACGGUUAAACCCCCCUGUGAAUUUUAUCGCUCUUGCAGACGCCGGCAAGUUUGCAAUCCCUGGUAAAUCAUUGUGAACAUCAGGGACCUCUAACCCCGGUAGAUCUUUCGCUGCAAUUUGAGCGCUUGGCAACUAGUGUCUGAAAGUGUCGCUGUGUAAGGAAAACGCUUUACGAUCGCUGGAGGCCGAACACCGGCCGGUGACCGGGCUGCUGUGGCUUUAUGUCCCCUAUAUUUACCCCACUACCUUAUCUCGGGUCGCAGGAAACUGCUAUCAACCGAACAACUGUUAACAAUGGAUAUCUUGGUUCUC